UCCUCCAAAGUCUAUGUGGUACUUCCUUAAAUUUUUAGCUGGUACUCACCCCUCCCCUGAACACUGAUGCAGAAAGUUGCUCAAAUCAGUCUCACGUGAAAGUAAAACAUUUUCUGAUGGCUGGAGGACCACAGCACAGGGGCAAAUUUCCUGAUAGAAGUCACCUGCCUACUUGAGUCCCAAGGACUAAAAUGUCACUCAACUUCUUCAAGGCUGAUUUCCAUCAGUGAAUUGAAUGUUCCAGUGCCAGCCACUGCCUCAGUUGAAGG
RNAcentral lists this long non-coding RNA (269 nucleotides) under Homo sapiens (human). RNAcentral describes it as "HSALNT0017449". The record is from RNAcentral. Lineage: Eukaryota; Metazoa; Chordata; Mammalia; Primates; Hominidae.